AGAUAUCCCCUAUCAGGCGGUUCUGAUGGGGUCCAGCCAUCAGACGUAAGGGGGAAAGCCCGGUCCCAAUCCGGCACUGUCCCGCAACUGUGAUCCCAACCCCAGGUUUCCGGUAAAUUGCCAUUUGCCCUCUGGAGUCGGUAAGUCAGAAUGCCCACCGCCUCGGUCGUCCACCC
This 176-nucleotide non-coding RNA is filed under the name Oxynema acuminatum PCC 6304. The record is from RNAcentral. Lineage: Bacteria; Bacillati; Cyanobacteriota; Cyanophyceae; Oscillatoriales; Oscillatoriaceae. RNAcentral also lists the same sequence under 1 other name.